Molecule: ribosomal RNA, 156 nt
Filed under: uncultured eukaryote
Lineage: Eukaryota
Description: partial 18S ribosomal RNA
Rfam family: Eukaryotic small subunit ribosomal RNA
Source: RNAcentral
UCGUGAAGUGAUUUGUUUGGUUGAUUCCGUUAACGAACGAGAUCUCAUCCACUUAGUAGGAACAUUCUCGUUAUGGUACUAUGUACUUAGAGUUUGUAUCUCUUCUUAGUGGCACUUGUCGUGAUCUGUAGCGCAUCAGGGAGCGAGCCAAUAGCA